AAAAAAUGUUAAAUGUUAGAGAAAAAGAUGCACAUGUAUGUACCUAGACAAACAAGGGACUCCACUACUUCCAUCCCACCACCCAAACACAAAUACACUCUCCUUUGUUUCCUCUCUCCUCUCUUUCUUUUUUGUUCUCCUAAUUCCCAGGAGAGCUUUGUAAUGGCCAUUUUAGCAAGCCUAAAUGUUAUGAUCUCUCGCCUAGGAUCGAGUCACGAG
Molecule: unclassified non-coding RNA, 219 nt
Filed under: Hevea brasiliensis (rubber tree)
Lineage: Eukaryota; Viridiplantae; Streptophyta; Magnoliopsida; Malpighiales; Euphorbiaceae
Source: RNAcentral